AUUGAACGCUGGCGGCAGGCUUAACACAUGCAAGUCGAGCGGGGGAAGGUAGCUUGCUACCGGACCUAGCGGCGGACGGGUGAGUAAUGCUUAGGAAUCUGCCUAUUAGUGGGGGACAACAUCUCGAAAGGGAUGCUAAUACCGCAUACGUCCUACGGGAGAAAGCAGGGGAUCUUCGGACCUUGCGCUAAUAGAUGAGCCUAAGUCGGAUUAGCUAGUUGGUGGGGUAAAGGCCUACCAAGGCGACGAUCUGUAGCGGGUCUGAGAGGAUGAACCGCCACCCUGGGACUGAGACACGGCCCAGACUCCUACGGGAGGCAGCAGUGGGGAAUAUUGGACAAUGGGGGGAACCCUGAUCCAGCCAUGCCGCGUGUGUGAAGAAGGCCUUAUGGUUGUAAAGCACUUUAAGCGAGGAGGAGGCUACUCUAGUUAAUACCUAGGGAUAGUGGACGUUACUCGCAGAAUAAGCACCGGCUAACUCUGUGCCAGCCGCCGCCGCGG
RNAcentral lists this ribosomal RNA (501 nucleotides) under uncultured bacterium. RNAcentral describes it as "partial 16S ribosomal RNA". It matches the Rfam family "Bacterial small subunit ribosomal RNA", at positions 30 to 523 of the family's 1533-position model. The record is from RNAcentral.